UUUACCUGARGGCGGUGCGCUAACCCGCAAGGGAGGCAGCCGACCACGGUMRGGUCAGCGACUGGGGUGAAGUCGUAACAAGGUAGCCGUAGGUGAACCUGCAGAAGGAUCA
RNAcentral lists this ribosomal RNA (112 nucleotides) under uncultured eukaryote. Its description in RNAcentral is "partial small subunit ribosomal RNA". The record is from RNAcentral.